This 105-nucleotide small nuclear RNA is filed under the name Carlito syrichta (Philippine tarsier). The record is from RNAcentral. Lineage: Eukaryota; Metazoa; Chordata; Mammalia; Primates; Tarsiidae.
GUGUUCACUUCAGCUGCACAUAUGCCUGAAAUUGGAAUGUCACCGAGAUUAGCAUGGUUCCUGCACAAGGAUGACAGAUUCAUGAAGCAUAUUUAAACAUUAAUU